CUCCAGGCUGGAGUGCAGUGGCACGAUCUCAGCUUACUGCAACCUCCGCCUUCUGGGUUCAAACGAUUCUCCUGCCUCAGCCUCCCGAGUUCAUGCUUCUGCAAUCAUUCACUUCCCUGCCAAGAAGAAUGAUUUUCCAACCACUACUAACCAGCAAAUGCAGCAUGUUUCUGUGGCCAUAGGUCAAGCUGGAAAACAUUUUUCCAUAAAACCAUGUGCAAUUUCAUGCCACAGGUGAAAGAAUAGCCCAAAUCCACAAGAGGGAAUUUGGAUGUACAAACAGAACCAAGGAUGUGCAGAACCAGAAGAAAGAUCAUGUGAGAACACCGCCCUAAGUAUCUGCAAGCCAUGGAGAGAGACCUCAAAAGAAACUGAACUCUGACAACACCUCUAUCUCGCUCUUCUAGCCUUUAGAACUAUGAGAACAUAAAUCUCGGUUUUUUAAGCCAUCCAGUUUGUAAUACUUUGUUAUGGCUGACACAGAAAACUAAUAAAAGAUACAAAAAUACAGUAAAUAAUGCACGUUACUUGAUAAAAAUCAAGUAAGAAACUUUUAGUACAUAAAUUAGGUAAAUAAAAUGUAAAAUGUUUAUCUUCAGCUUCUAUACAAACAUGAAAUUUACUUUGAACUUCUCUGAAUUCUCAUAUUUCUUCUUUAAUUUAUUCCAGGUUCAGAUAAUGAGUGUAUUAUAAACAGAGUCUCAAACUUAAUUUGAUAACUGAAAGUGACUAUGUUGGUAAUUUAAUUUCAAAGUUAUAUCUUCAGCAUUUAUGUACCACAGAAACAUUUCACAAUAACAUUCUAAAAUUAAUGAAUUUUCCCAGAAAAGUGAUUCCAAUCAUUUGAAACUUUUUACUUAUGUACACGAUAAAUUUAAUGCAAACAUAAGCCAUUCCACAAAUACAUCUAAAUAUUAUAUCACAGGAUAUAGCAUGUAAUAUAUUUCUAUAGAUCAGUAGGAAAUUCAUGAAAAUUCAAACCAAGUAUAAGUUUUGUAAAUCACACUGUACUUUUCCAUUGCUUGUGUUAGUAUUUAACUUUUCAAGUAUUUUAAUGCUGUUUUCCCCAGCCAGUCUAUAAAUUCUUCAAGAAUUACUUAUUGUACCACCUACAGCAAAAUCAGAAACAUGAACAAUAUAAGUAAUCUAUAGUCUGUAUGGAUAGAAUGAAUCAAUAAUUCUAACAACCUAUGAAAGUGAGUUCCUAGA
Molecule: long non-coding RNA, 1209 nt
Filed under: Homo sapiens (human)
Lineage: Eukaryota; Metazoa; Chordata; Mammalia; Primates; Hominidae
Description: HSALNT0070513
Source: RNAcentral